UUCCAGACUCCUACGGGAGGCAGCAGUGGGGAAUAUUGCACAAUGGGGGAAACCCUGAUGCAGCGACGCCGCGUGAGUGAGGAAGUAUUUCGGUAUGUAAAGCUCUAUCAGCGGGGAAGAAAAUGACGGUACCUGACUAAGAAGCCCCGGCUAACUACGUGCCAGCAGCCGCGGUAAUACGUAGGGGGCAAGCGUUAUCCGGAUUUACUGGGUGUAAAGGGGGCGCAGACGGCAGCGCAAGCCAGGAGUGAAAGCCCGGGGCCCAACCCCGGGACUGCUCUUGGAACUGCGCGGCUGGAGUGCAGGAGGGGCAGGCGGAAUUCCUGGUGUAGCGGUGAAAUGCGUAGAUAUCAGGAGGAACACCGGUGGCGAAGGCGGCCUGCUGGACUGCGACUGACGUUGAGGCUCGAGAGCGUGGGGAGCAAACAGGAUUAGAUACCCGAGUAUA
This 448-nucleotide ribosomal RNA is filed under the name uncultured bacterium. Its description in RNAcentral is "bacterial SSU rRNA". It matches the Rfam family "Bacterial small subunit ribosomal RNA", at positions 329 to 794 of the family's 1533-position model. The record is from RNAcentral.